UACAGAGGUCCCAAGCGUUGUUCGGAUUCACUGGGCGUAAAGGGUGUGUAGGUGGUUGGGUAAGUCUGAUGUGAAAUCUCCGGGCUCAACCCGGAAAUGGCAUUGGAUACUAUUCGGCUAGAGGUUUGGAGGGGGGACUGGAAUUCUCGGUGUAGCAGUGAAAUGCGUAGAUAUCGAGAGGAACACCAGUGGCGAAGGCGAGUCCCUGGACAACACCUGACACUGAGGCACGAAAGCUAGGGGAGCAAACAGG
This 253-nucleotide ribosomal RNA is filed under the name uncultured bacterium. RNAcentral's name for it is "partial 16S ribosomal RNA". It matches the Rfam family "Bacterial small subunit ribosomal RNA", at positions 524 to 776 of the family's 1533-position model. The record is from RNAcentral.